This 238-nucleotide long non-coding RNA is filed under the name Prunus persica (peach). RNAcentral describes it as "long non-coding RNA (PPER_LNC004944)". The record is from RNAcentral. Lineage: Eukaryota; Viridiplantae; Streptophyta; Magnoliopsida; Rosales; Rosaceae.
GAACAAGUCAAUGGACCCACGUAGGUCCUCGACUGAUCUUGAGGUUUUGGGACUCCCCCUUGUGAUACGGGAAUUUGAUCCCUUGAAACAUCAGUUAUCUUCACCUUUUUCACGCGUUUCCUUUGUGGAUGAGGUAUGUUCACCACCUUCUUUUUCAUGACGAUGGCUCUGCUUUUACCCUUAGGAGAACAUGGGUAAACCUCUUGUAAUGUGGAUUCCACCACAUGGGCUCUAAGGC